AGCAGCCGCGGUAAUUCCAGCUCCAAUAGCGUAUAUUAAAGUUGUUGCAGUUAAAAAGCUCGUAGUUGAAUUUCGGGAUUGACGUGAUGGUCGUACCUUAAGGGGUAUGAACUGUCGCUGUUGAUUUCUCACCUUCUGGAGAAACUUGAUGUCCUUAAUUGGGUGUCUUACGGAUCCAGGACCUUUACCUUGAAAAAAUUAGAGUGUCUAAAGCAGGCAUUUUUGCUCGAAUACAUUAGCAUGGAAUAAUAGAAUAGGACGGCAUGGUUCUAUUUUGUUGGUUUCUAGGAUCACCGUAAUGAUUAAUAGGGAUAGUUGGGGGCAUUAGUAUUCAAUUGUCAGAGGUGAAAUUCUUGGAUUUAUUGAAGAUUAACUACUGCGAAAGCAUUUGCCAAGGAUGUUUUCAUUAAUCAAGAACGAAAGUUAGGGGAUCGAAGACGAUCAGAUACCGUCGUAGUCUUAACCAUAAACUAUGCCGACUAGGAAUCAGACGAUGUUAAUUUUUUAAUGACUCGUUUGGCACCUUACG
This 529-nucleotide ribosomal RNA is filed under the name uncultured Glomeromycotina. RNAcentral describes it as "SSU rRNA". It matches the Rfam family "Eukaryotic small subunit ribosomal RNA", at positions 569 to 1092 of the family's 1831-position model. Lineage: Eukaryota; Fungi; Glomeromycota. The record is from RNAcentral.